This 230-nucleotide ribosomal RNA is filed under the name uncultured fungus. RNAcentral describes it as "partial 18S ribosomal RNA". It matches the Rfam family "Eukaryotic small subunit ribosomal RNA", at positions 40 to 274 of the family's 1831-position model. The record is from RNAcentral. Lineage: Eukaryota; Fungi.
AAGAUUAAGCCAUGCAUGUCUAAGUAUAAGCAAUCUGUACGGUGAAACUGCGAAUGGCUCAUUAAAUCAGUUAUCGUUUAUUUGAUAGUACCUUACUACAUGGAUACCUGUGGUAAUUCUAGAGCUAAUACAUGCUAAAAACCUCGACUUCGGAAGGGGUGUAUUUAUUAGAUAAAAACCAAUGCCCUCCGGGGCUCCUUGGUGAUUCAUAAUAACUUCUCGAAUCGCAU